UACGUAGGGAGCAAGCGUUGUCCGGAAUCAUUGGGCGUAAAGCGCGCGUAGGUGGCCCCAUAAGUCCGCUGUGAAAGUCAAAGGCUCAACCUUUGAAAGCCGGUGGAUACUGUGGGACUAGAGUACGGAAGAGGCGAGUGGAAUUCCUGGUGUAGCGGUGGAAUGCGCAGAUAUCAGGAGGAACACCAUUAGCGAAGGCAGCUCGCUGGGACGUUACUGACACUGAGGCGCGAAAGCGUGGGGAGCGAACAGG
This 253-nucleotide ribosomal RNA is filed under the name uncultured bacterium. Its description in RNAcentral is "partial 16S ribosomal RNA". It matches the Rfam family "Bacterial small subunit ribosomal RNA", at positions 524 to 776 of the family's 1533-position model. The record is from RNAcentral.